CUAAUCAUACCUCAUGGUUGGAGGCCUGGCUGCCCAAAUAUUUCCAGCCUUCUGGAAAAUUAAAAUAGAGGGAGUUUCAUGCAGGCACACUAAGGCAUAGUGUUUAAGACUGACGGACAAAAUGUUGGUAACAGCUGAAGCUGAAGGUUGGGUACCUGGAAGUUCAUUAUGCUAUUGUCUACUUUUUGGAUGCUCAGAAAUGUCCACCAUAGGAAGUUAAAAAGUGCUCUUUAACCAACACCUGAGGUGGUGAUUAUGUUGGAAUUUGGGAUGUAUGUAGAUUGGAAGAGUGAAUAAAAAGAUUCUGUUGAGUUUGAAAUAUAUGGCUUCCUUUGGUCAGCUUAUAACUGAAAGUUUCAUUUUGAACAUGAGGAAUUAGCUUAAAUCAUUGGACAAAAAUGUGCCACAAAUCCAGUUCCUUUCUCUCUAUUAAAAUAAUAUCUUUAUAAUCCAGGAAGUAAAGUAUCAUUAUGCGAAAAGGGAGGGAUCUUUGUACACAGUCCAGGCCCUUCAAAGAGAUUACCAGACUUUUCGUGUAUGCAAAAUAACCACAGUCCCGGGCUGGCUCCAGCUCUUGCCAGCGUCAGUGGUGAAACCUGCACUAGGAGACAUGCAGGGUCCCCUGAGAUAGUCAUACAUGCUUUACAGACUCAUGAAGGAAAUGAACCAAAGAAGGAAAAGUCAAGACAAGACUGAGAGAAGACAAAACUUGCUCUAAGAAGCACCCAGCUAAUUUCCAGAAAGCUGCUUGUUUGCAGAUAGUAUGGUGAAAUUGUUCUGUGUGUUUUAAAGGGUCUGUGAGAUGACUGGAGUGUGAUUUGUAGUCUAUUCGUGUAUUUUAUUUCCCUAGCAUUUCGAUUUUCUUAGGAGUUUCAGAGUAAGAAGUACAUUGUAAAAGCCUGGAAGCUUUGUUUUGGGCGGGACUAUGGUCUAUUGAAAAGCAAGCCAACUUCAUUCUAGGCCUUGAAGCUUGACAGUGUCAUUUACAGAGUGACACAGUCACGCUAUAAGUGACCAGAGACAUUCCAGAGUUCAUGACUGUUGUUUAACAACAACACUUCAAGGGUGGCUGCAGGCACGAGGCACAACACGCCCGCCCUAGUGUGGUGAAUGUGGGGGAACCACUCCCUGCUGGAAUGUGGCAUUGCUCAAAGGCAGCCGGGCCUUCCUCUAUCCCCACCGACCUGGACAGACUGGAGGGACGACUCUAUUUUCAGGGAAUGACAAAUUGAUUGUGCUGAUUGGGUGAGAGUACUUAACUGCCUCCUGCGCUGCUUCCAAGGACAACCUGCAGGGAAGGUUUGUUUUGAAGUGACUUGUGUAAGGAAGCAUUGCAGUGCAAUGAGAACCCAAACACCUUGCUACCAAAGAGGACUUCAGCCCAGCCUUGACUAGACCAUUCAGGUCGAGGAGCCUUUUAUUCCCCAUGUUCCUAAAGCCAGCGAGUUACUGGAGAGGACAUUCCAUUCCACUGACAGAAAGAAGGAGACAAGAUGGCAGCUCUAAAUUACAUGUGCAAUAGCCCAGGAGGCUUGUAAACAUUUGAGGAGUUGAUCGUUAUUUUCAUUCCUGACUGGUUUGGUGGUGCAAAUAACAACUCCAUAAAUUGCUGAAGCCCAGCCAGAGUGCUGAGGACAUGCAUUUGUGGUCAUGACCCAUAGUGAGUGAUGAAUAUUCAUGGCAGAGUGAAUCUGAACUACUCCUGAAGCAGGUCAGCUGGUGUGUGAACUCAAAACAGGUCUUGGUAUGGAAAUCAAGUUUAUAGACUUAACCGAAGAAAAGUACUGAUGGUUAACAGCACGAUCAAGAAAUGUCACUACCCAGGAGCUGAGGGGGAGGGGAGCAGGGAGCUCUUGUUCCAUGGGUAGAGAGUUUCAGUUUUGCAAGAUGAAAUGCUCUAGAGAUCUGCUGCACAACAAUGUGCAUAUAGCUAAUCCUACCAUACAGUAUACUUCACAGUGAUUCAGAUGGUAAAUGUAUGUUCUAUUUUUUUUAUCACAAUAAAAAAGAGAAUAGAAUGUCUCUAUAGAGUCUAGUCUAAAAGAGCUCAAACCAAAUAUGUAGCUGUGUUCCUAUUCCCUGCUUCUGCUUCCAAUCCACCUCCAGGUAAUUUCUGUGCCAGGAAGGCAGGUAAAAGCUAUUCUCGGGCCACACAGAGGCCACUGUGGCCACUCUUUGGGCUUUCCAGAAACACAGAACUCUUGAAGUAAAUUUUUUGUUGUUGUUCAAUGAUCUAUUCCAAGUUUGUCCAGCUUGUGGCCCGUGGGCCGCACGCAGCCCAGGAUGGCUUUGAAGGUGCCCAACACACAUUCAUAAACUUUCUUAAAACAUUAUGAGUUUUUUUUUUUUGAAAUAGUCUCGCUCUGUCACCCAGGCUAGAGUGCAAUGGCUUGAUCUCAGCUCACUGCAGACUCCGCCUCCCGAGUUCAAGCGAUUCUCCUGCCUCAGCCUCCCGAGGAGCUGGGAUUACAAGCGCCCACCACCGUGCCCGACUAAUUUUUGUAUUUCUUAAGUAGAGACGAGGUUUCACCAUCUUGGCAAGGCUGAUCUCAAACUCCUGACCUCAUGAUCCAACCCCGUCGGCCUCCCAAAGUGCCGGCAUUACAGGCAUGAGCCACCGUGCCUGGCCAACAUUAUGAGAUUUUUUUGUGAUUAUUUUUUAAGCUUGUCAGCUGUCGUUAGUGUUAGUGUAUUUUAUGUGUGGCCCAGGACAAUUCUUCUUCUUCCCACGUGGCCCAGGGUAGCCAAAAGAUUGGAUACCCCUGACUAUUACCUCAGCAACUCAACAUAACCAGGGACAUAGUGGAUAACCUAAAAGAUAUACUUUGCCACGCUGAGGAUUGGAAAGUCCAGCCAGGGUGGGUAUAUUGCCUGGGCCAGAGAGGAAGGCUUGAUAAUCUCUCGUCUCUUCUUCCCUCUUCACCCAGACCCCCUGCUGGCUCCCAACACCUUCUACCCCCAUAUGCACCAUCCAAAGGGACUUUCCCUCUCUAACCACCAGGGUCUCCAGUGGUGAGCAAAGAUGAUGACAAAAGACAUGAUGUGGUUUCUGCUCAGUUAGAAGCACAAGAAGAACUUUCAAACGGCCCUUAGAAGGGAGAAAAACCCAAGAGAGGAAGGAAGUCUGUCAACCUGCAGCUACAGACUUUACCCUGCCUUUUUUUUUUUUUUUUUUCAGUCUUGCAGAAAUGUAUGCCUCUCUUUAGGAGAAGCCCACCAAGUGCCCAGUGGCCUUCAGCUGAACUCAGAGAGAUGGGUUGAGGGUCCCUACUAGCAAAGUUCAUCUCCAUACCAUCAUCUUGGAGUGCUCACAUCUCUGAUGUGAACAAGAUUCAGACCUGAAUUUAAGGGAUGCUUCUCUCAUUUCUAAGUUAUAUAGUUAGUUUUAGAAGAUUCCUGUCUUCCUUCCUUUUCUUUCUUUUCAGCCAAUCCUUUUAAGAGCA
Long non-coding RNA from Macaca mulatta (Rhesus monkey), 3443 nucleotides. The record is from Ensembl. Lineage: Eukaryota; Metazoa; Chordata; Mammalia; Primates; Cercopithecidae.